Molecule: ribosomal RNA, 468 nt
Filed under: uncultured bacterium
Lineage: Bacteria
Description: partial 16S ribosomal RNA
Rfam family: Bacterial small subunit ribosomal RNA
Source: RNAcentral
GACGAACGCUGGCGGCGUGCUUAACACAUGCAAGUCGAACGGAAAGGCCCUGCUUUUGUGGGGUGCUCGAGUGGCGAACGGGUGAGUAACACGUGAGUAACCUGCCCUUGACUUUGGGAUAACUUCAGGAAACUGGGGCUAAUACCGGAUAGGAGCUCCUGCUGCAUGGUGGGGGUUGGAAAGUUUCGGCGGUUGGGGAUGGACUCGCGGCUUAUCAGCUUGUUGGUGGGGUAGUGGCUUACCAAGGCUUUGACGGGUAGCCGGCCUGAGAGGGUGACCGGCCAAAAUGGGAAAGGGGAACGGGCCAGACUCCUACGGGAGGCAGCAGUGGGGAAUAUUGCACAAUGGGCGGAAGCCUGAUGCAGCAACGCCGCGUGCGGGAUGACGGCCUUCGGGUUGUAAACCGCUUUCGCCUGUGACGAAGCGUGAGUGACGGUAAUGGGUAAAGAAGCACCGGCUAACUACGUG